UAUUCUUAAACAAAAGAGCAGCAAUGUCAUGUCCGGAAAAUGCAUUCAGAAACGAAACAACUACACGUUGUGUUUGUAAAAUUGGUUACAUCGGAUCAAACUGCGUGGAGAAAUGUGAAAAUGGUACCUUCGGUUUUGCAUGCCAUCAAAAAUGUGAAUGUCCAAUAGAAGAAUGUCAUUUUGAAAGUGGUUGUCGAAUCACAACAGAUAAAGUAUCCACGGAACCAGUGACAUCGACAUGGAAAUGGAG
Long non-coding RNA from Saccostrea echinata, 250 nucleotides. RefSeq lists it as uncharacterized. The record is from RefSeq and is a predicted model, not a curated record. NCBI's taxonomy places the organism in Eukaryota, Metazoa, Mollusca, Bivalvia, Ostreida, Ostreidae. The transcript has 3 exons.